GUGCAGCAGGCGAGAAACCUCCGCAAUGCGCGCAAGCGCGACGGGGCCAUCCCGAGUGCCGCUCGCUGAGGGCGGCUUUUCUCCGGUGUAAGUAGCCGGAGGAAUAAGGAGAGGGCAAGUCUGGUGUCAGCCGCCGCGGUAAUACCAGCUCUCCGAGUGGUGGGGACGAUUAUUGGGCCUAAAGCGUCCGUAGCCGGCCUGACAAGUCUCCCGUUAAAUCCAGCGGCCUAACCGCUGGGCUGCGGGAGAUACUGUCAAGCUUGGGGGCGGGAGAGGCCAGCGGUAUCCCCGGGGUAGGGGUGAAAUCCGUUAAUCCCGGGAGGACCACCAGUGGCGAAGGCGGCCGGCCAGAACGCGCCCGACGGUGAGGGACGAAAGCGUGGGGGGAGCGGAACCGGAUUAGAUACCCCU
RNAcentral lists this ribosomal RNA (411 nucleotides) under uncultured microorganism. RNAcentral's name for it is "bacterial SSU rRNA". It matches the Rfam family "Archaeal small subunit ribosomal RNA", at positions 330 to 740 of the family's 1478-position model. The record is from RNAcentral.